AUUGAACGCUGGCGGCAGGCCUAACACAUGCAAGUCGAACGGUAACAGGAAGAAGCUUGCUUCUUUGCUGACGAGUGGCGGACGGGUGAGUCAUGUCUGGGAAACUGCCUGAUGGAGGGGGAUAACUACUGGAAACGGUAGCUAAUACCGCAUAACGUCGCAAGACCAAAGAGGGGGACCUUCGGGCCUCUUGCCAUCGGAUGUGCCCAGAUGGGAUUAGCUAGUAGGUGGGGUAACGGCUCACCUAGGCGACGAUCCCUAGCUGGUCUGAGAGGAUGACCAGCCACACUGGAACUGAGACACGGUCCAGACUCCUACGGGAGGCAGCAGUGGGGAAUAUUGCGCAAUGGGCGCAAGCCUGAUGCAGCCAUGCCGCGUGUAUGAAGAAGGCCUUCGGGUUGUAAAGUACUUUCAGCGGGGAGGAAGGGAGUAAAGUUAAUACCUUGGCGCAUUGACGUUACCCGCAGAAGAAGCACCGGCUAACUCCGUG
Molecule: ribosomal RNA, 490 nt
Filed under: uncultured bacterium
Lineage: Bacteria
Description: partial 16S ribosomal RNA
Rfam family: Bacterial small subunit ribosomal RNA
Source: RNAcentral